UUAACUGAAACCAAAAAGAGGUAUAUUACUGUUAAUAAUAAAAUUGAAUUAUAAAUUCCAGUUAAG
This 66-nucleotide transfer RNA is filed under the name Periplaneta svenhedini. RNAcentral's name for it is "tRNA-Asn". The record is from RNAcentral. Lineage: Eukaryota; Metazoa; Arthropoda; Insecta; Blattodea; Blattidae.